RNAcentral lists this ribosomal RNA (252 nucleotides) under uncultured bacterium. RNAcentral describes it as "partial 16S ribosomal RNA". It matches the Rfam family "Bacterial small subunit ribosomal RNA", at positions 524 to 776 of the family's 1533-position model. The record is from RNAcentral.
UACGUAGGGUGCGGGCGUAAUCGGAAUUACUGGGCGUAAAGCGUGCGCAGGCGGUUUUGUAAGCCAGAUGUGAAAUCCCCGGGCUUAACCUGGGAAUGGCAUUUGGGACUGCAAGGCUGGAGUACGGCAGAGGAGACUGGAAUUCCUGGUGUAGCAGUGAAAUGCGUAGAGAUCAGGAGGAAUACCGAUGGCGAAGGCAGGUCUCUGGGCUGAUACUGACGCUGAGGAGCGAAAGCGUGGGGAGCGAACAGG